RNAcentral lists this ribosomal RNA (1185 nucleotides) under Nocardiopsis sp. AACh2. RNAcentral describes it as "bacterial SSU rRNA". It matches the Rfam family "Bacterial small subunit ribosomal RNA", at positions 23 to 1210 of the family's 1533-position model. The record is from RNAcentral. Lineage: Bacteria; Bacillati; Actinomycetota; Actinomycetes; Streptosporangiales; Nocardiopsidaceae.
CUCAGGACGAACGCUGGCGGCGUGCUUAACACAUGCAAGUCGAGCGGUAAGGCCCUUCGGGGUACACGAGCGGCGAACGGGUGAGUAACACGUGAGCAACCUGCCCCUGACUCUGGGAUAAGCGGUGGAAACGCCGUCUAAUACCGGAUACGACACACCGUCUCAUGGCGUGUGUGUGGAAAGUUUUAUCGGUCAGGGAUGGGCUCGCGGCCUAUCAGCUAGUUGGUGGGGUAAAGGCCUACCAAGGCGAUUACGGGUAGCCGGCCUGAGAGGGCGACCGGCCACACUGGGACUGAGACACGGCCCAGACUCCUGCGGGAGGCAGCAGUGGGGAAUAUUGCACAAUGGGCGAAAGCCUGAUGCAGCGACGCCGCGUGGGGGAUGACGGCCUUCGGGUUGUAAACCUCUUUUACCACCAACGCAGGCUCCACGUACUCGUGGGGUUGACGGUAGGUGGGGAAUAAGGACCGGCUAACUACGUGCCAGCAGCCGCGGUAAUACGUAGGGUCCGAGCGUUGUCCGGAAUUAUUGGGCGUAAAGAGCUCGUAGGCGGCGUGUCACGUCUGCUGUGAAAGACCGGGGCUUAACUCCGGUUCUGCAGUGGAUACGGGCAUGCUAGAGGUAGGUAGGGGAGACUGGAAUUCCUGGUGUAGCGGUGAAAUGCGCAGAUAUCAGGAGGAACACCGGUGGCGAAGGCGGGUCUCUGGGCCUUACCUGACGCUGAGGAGCGAAAGCAUGGGGAGCGAACAGGAUUAGAUACCCUGGUAGUCCAUGCCGUAAACGUUGGGCGCUAGGUGUGGGGACUUUCCACGGUUUCCGCGCCGUAGCUAACGCAUUAAGCGCCCCGCCUGGGGAGUACGGCCGCAAGGCUAAAACUCAAAGGAAUUGACGGGGGCCCGCACAAGCGGCGGAGCAUGUUGCUUAAUUCGACGCAACGCGAAGAACCUUACCAAGGUUUGACAUCACCCGUGGACCUGUAGAGAUACAGGGUCAUUUAGUUGGUGGGUGACAGGUGGUGCAUGGCUGUCGUCAGCUCGUGUCGUGAGAUGUUGGGUUAAGUCCCGCAACGAGCGCAACCCUUGUUCCAUGUUGCCAGCACGUAAUGGUGGGGACUCAUGGGAGACUGCCGGGGUCAACUCGGAGGAAGGUGGGGACGACGUCAAGUCAUCAUGCCCCUUAUGUCUU